GGAGGAUCAUUAUCGUAGGGCUUCGGCCCUGUCGAGAUAGAACCCUUGCCUUUUUGAGUACCUUUCGUUUCCUCGGCAGGCUCGCCUGCCAAUGGGGACCACAAAAAACACUUUGCGGUACCUGUAACAGUCUGAACAAACAAAACAAAAAUUAAAACUUUCAACAACGGAUCUCUUGGUUCUGGCAUCGAUGAAGAACGCAGCGAAAUGCGAUAAGUAGUGUGAAUUGCAGAAUUCAGUGUAUCAUCGAAUCUUUGAACGCACAUUGCGCCCUUUGGUAUUCCUUAGGGCAUGCCUGUUCGAGCGUCAUUUAAACCUUCAAGCUAAGCUUGGUGUUGGGUGACUGUCCGCUUCACUGCGGACUCGCCUCAAAAUUAUUGGCGGCCGGUACAUUGGCUUCGAGCGCAGCAGAAACGCGAACUCGGGCCCGUCGCAUCGGCUCCCAGAAGCUAUCUUCACAAUUUUGACCUCGGAUCAGGUAGGGAUACCCGCUGAACUUAAGCAUAUCAAUAAGCGGAGGA
Molecule: ribosomal RNA, 521 nt
Filed under: uncultured Pleosporales
Lineage: Eukaryota; Fungi; Ascomycota; Dothideomycetes; Pleosporales
Description: eukaryotic LSU rRNA
Rfam family: 5.8S ribosomal RNA (bases 156-309)
Source: RNAcentral